CCUACGGGGUGCUGCAGUGAGGAAUAUUGGUCAAUGGCCGAGAGGCUGAACCAGCCAAGUCGCGUGAGGGAAGACGGCCCUACGGGUUGUAAACCUCUUUUGUCGGGGAGAAAAGCGAACCACGUGGGGGUCAUUGAGAGUACCCGAAGAAAAAGCAUCGGCUAACGCCGUGCCAGCAGCCGCGGUAAUACGGAGGAUGCGAGCGUGAUCCGGAUUUAUUGGGGUGAAAGGGGGCGCAGGCGGAGGUGCAAGUCAGCGGUCCAAUUGCGGGGCUCAACCCCGUACUGCCGUUGAAACUGCAUCCCUUGCGUGCGCGAGACGUCUGUGGCAUGCGUGGUGUAGCGGUGCAAUGCCUAGAUCUCACGC
RNAcentral lists this ribosomal RNA (366 nucleotides) under uncultured bacterium. RNAcentral's name for it is "partial 16S ribosomal RNA". It matches the Rfam family "Bacterial small subunit ribosomal RNA", at positions 338 to 702 of the family's 1533-position model. The record is from RNAcentral.